GUAGGGGCCAAGCGUUAUCCGGAUUUAUUGGGCGUAAAGAGCUCGUAGGCGGCUUGGCAAGUCGGUCGUGAAAGUCCGAGGCUCAACCUCGGAAUGCCGGUCGAAACUGCCAUGGCUAGGGUUCGGUAGAGGAGAGUGGAAUUCUCGGUGUAGCGGUGAAAUGCGCAGAUAUCGAGAGGAACACCAGUAGCGAAGGCGGCUCUCUGGGCCGAUACCGACGCUGAGGAGCGAAAGCGUGGGGAGCAAACAGGAUUAGAUACCCUGGUAGUCCACGCCGUAAACGGUGAUCACUAGGUGUGGCGGAUCAUUGACGUCUGCUGUGCCGGCGCUAACGCAUUUAGUGAUCCGCCUGGGGAGUACGGCCGCAAGGCUA
This 373-nucleotide ribosomal RNA is filed under the name uncultured organism. Its description in RNAcentral is "partial 16S ribosomal RNA". It matches the Rfam family "Bacterial small subunit ribosomal RNA", at positions 527 to 896 of the family's 1533-position model. The record is from RNAcentral.